GUGUGUGGUGUGUGUGUGUGUGUGUGUGUGUGUGUGGUUAGCUAUGAUUAGCUGCAUACGGAAAUUCAUUUUUCUGUGUUUAAGCUUGUCAGAGAGCGUUUGCUUCAGGUAAACCAGUGAGUUUUGCUGGGUGUGCUGCCUCUGCAUCAGUGAAAAAGCUGACAGAAUAAGAUUAUUUUCCCUCUUCUCCUCCCUCUUCUCUCUCUCUUUCUGGUCUAAAAUUAUCCCUCAUCUCUCCCAGGAUUCUAACACUGCCAAUCAAAUCCACAAAAAAAGGCUCAACUAUAAAUAAUACAUAAUCCUUUACAAUCUAGCUUCUUCUCUUUUUCAUUACCUAGCUCUGUUCGCUCUCCCUAACCCUCUUUUCUUCCCCUCUCUCUCUCUCUCUCUCGCUCUCUCUCUCUUCAAUUUAAGGGGCUAUAUCGGCAUGAGAAACAUAUGUUUACAUUGCCAAAGCAAGUGAACUAGAUAAUAAACAAAAGUCAAAUAAACAAUAAAAAAAAUCUCUGGUCGCUUAUUGGUCCCAUUCUGUUCUCCUCUUCUCUCUCUCUCCCUCCCUCUCUUCCUGUUGGUCCUUAGAGCUCAUCAUUUCCCCCUGCUGUAUUCUAUUCUCCUCUAAUCUCAUUACCUCCCUCUUCCUUUUCACCUACUCCCUCUUUCCCUCACCUUCUCCCUGUACUACUCCCCCAUGCCCCUUCUAUACCUUAAUCUCUCAUUCCUCCUCUCUUCUUCUCUGUGCAUAUUCACUCUCUUUUACUUGCGUCCCUCUAUCCAUGUCUCUCUUCCUUCAUCUGGCCACUAAACUUGUGAUACUUUCCUUCCAUUCUGCAAGACUCCUGCUCUCUGUCUGCCCCUCUCUCUCUGUCUGUCUGCCUCUCUCUCUGACUCAGGGGUAUCUCUCAUUCCCGCAUGGUUCUAUCUCCACACUCUCCAUCACUAAAUGUGAUUUGUUCUGCAGCUCAAGUCUGCAGUAUAAUCAUCCUGUUUUGUCCAGGACAGGGAGAAAGGGAGAGAGAGGGAGAGGGAUUGAGAGAGAGGACAUGAGGACAAACAGAUGAAAUUGGAAGAAUGUUAUAAGAAAUGUCUGAUUUUCCUCUCUCAUCUCAGGCCUUCUCUUUUCCUCUAAUCCUCUCUCACUCUCUCACUCACUCUCUCAACACCCCUCUGAGUUAACAGCAGAAUCAUGUACCCCCUUUGUGUAUUUCUCUCUCUCUCUCUCUUUCUCACACAUCCACUCUUCCUCAUUACACUCCUCUCUUCUCACUGCUCCUCCCUUCUCUACCUCAUGUCACAUCCCUGUUCAUCCUUCCCAUCCUUCUCAAAGCUAUGUUUGACCUUGAUGUUCUUUAUGACCUUCAACAUAUUUCCAUGACCCCAUUCCCUCUCUCUCUACCACUCCGCUCAUCUCAUCUCUCUACCACUCUGCUCAUCUCUACCACUCCACUCAUCUCUCUCUACCACUCUGCUCAUCUCUCUCUACCACUCCACUCAUCUCCUCUCUCUCUACCACUCCACUCAUCUCCUCUCUCUCUACCACUCCGCUCAUCUCUCUCUCUACCACUUCGCUCAUCUCAUCUCUCUCUCUCUACCACUUCGCUCAUCUCAUCUCUCUCUACCACUCUGCUCAUCUCAUCUCUCUCUACCACUCUGCUCAUCUCAUCUCUCUCUACCACUCCGCUCAUCUCAUCUCUCUCUACCACUCCACUCAUCUCUCUCUACCACUCUGCUCAUCUCAUCUCUCUCUACCACUCCACUCAACUCAUCUCUCUCUCUACCACUCUGCUCAUCUCAUCUCUCUCUACCACUCCACUCAUCUCAUCUCUCUCUACCACUCCACUCAUCUCAUCUCUCUCUACCACUCCGCUCAACUCAUCUCUCUCUCUACCACUCUGCUCAUCUCAUCUCUCUCUACCACUCCACUCAUCUCAUCUCUCUCUACCACUCCCCUCAUCUCAUCUCUCUCUACUGCUCAUCUCAUCUCUCUCUACCACUCCACUCAUCUCAUCUCUCUCUACCACUCUGCUCAUCUCAUCUCUCUCUACCACUCCACUCAACUCAUCUCUCUCUCUACGACUCCGCUCAUCUCAUCUCUCUCUACCACUCCACUCAUCUCAUCUCUCUCUACCACUCCACUCAUCUCAUCUCUCUCUACCACUCCACUCAACUCAUCUCUCUCUCUACCACUCUGCUCUGCUCAUCUCAUCUCUCUCUACCACUCCACUCAUCUCCUCUCUCUCUACCACUCCACUCAUCUCCUCUCUCUCUACCACUCCGCUCAUCUCUCUCUCUACCACUUCGCUCAUCUCAUCUCUCUCUCUCUACCACUUCGCUCAUCUCAUCUCUCUCUACCACUCUGCUCAUCUCAUCUCUCUCUACCACUCUGCUCAUCUCAUCUCUCUCUACCACUCCGCUCAUCUCAUCUCUCUCUACCACUCCACUCAUCUCUCUCUACCACUCUGCUCAUCUCAUCUCUCUCUACCACUCCACUCAACUCAUCUCUCUCUCUACCACUCUGCUCAUCUCAUCUCUCUCUACCACUCCACUCAUCUCAUCUCUCUCUACCACUCCACUCAUCUCAUCUCUCUCUACCACUCCGCUCAACUCAUCUCUCUCUCUACCACUCUGCUCAUCUCAUCUCUCUCUACCACUCCACUCAUCUCAUCUCUCUCUACCACUCCCCUCAUCUCAUCUCUCUCUACUGCUCAUCUCAUCUCUCUCUACCACUCCACUCAUCUCAUCUCUCUCUACCACUCUGCUCAUCUCAUCUCUCUCUACCACUCCACUCAACUCAUCUCUCUCUCUACGACUCCGCUCAUCUCAUCUCUCUCUACCACUCCACUCAUCUCAUCUCUCUCUACCACUCCACUCAUCUCAUCUCUCUCUACCACUCCACUCAACUCAUCUCUCUCUCUACCACUCUGCUCUGCUCAUCUCAUCUCUCUCUACCACUCCACUCAUCUCAUCUCUCUCUACCACUCCACUCAUCUCAUCUCUCUCUACCACGCCGCUCAUCUCAUCUCUCUCUACCACUCCACUCAACUCAUCUCUCUCUCUACCACUCUGCUCAUCUCAUCUCCUCUUACCACUCCGCUCAUCUCUCUCUACCACUCCGCUCAUCUCAUCUCUCUCUACCACUCUGCUCAUCUCAUCUCUCUCUACCCAACUCCACUCAUCUCAUCUCUCUCUACCACUUCGCUCAUCUCAUCUCUCUCUACCACUCCGCUCAUCUCAUCUCUCUCUACCACUCCGCUCAUCUCAUCUCUCUCUACCACUCCGCUCAUCUCAUCUCUCUCUACCACUCCGCUCAUCUCAUCUCUCUCUACCACUCCGCUCAUCUCAUCUCUCUCUACCACUCCGCUCAUCUCACUCUCUCUACCACUCGCUCAUCUCAUCUCUCUCUACCACUCCGCUCAUCUCAUCUCUCUCUACCACUCCGCUCAUCUCAUCUCUCUCUACCACUCCGCUCAUCUCAUCUCUCUCUACCACUCCGCUCAUCUCAUCUCUCUCUACCACUCCGCUCAUCUCAUCUCUCUCUACCACUCCGCUCAUCUCAUCUCUCUCUACCACUCCGCUCAUCUCAUCUCUCUCUACCACUCCGCUCAUCUCAUCUCUCUCUACCACUCCGCUCAUCUCAUCUCUCUCUACCACUCCGCUCAUCUCAUCUCUCUCUACCACUCCGCUCAUCUCAUCUCUCUCUACCACUCCGCUCAUCUCAUCUCUCUCUCUACCACUCCACUCAUCUCAUCUCUCUCUACCACUCCGCUCAUCUCAUCUCUCUCUACCACUCCGCUCAUCUCAUCUCUCUCUACCACUCCCUCAUCUCAUCUCUCUCUACUGCUCAUCUCAUCUCUCUCUACCACUCCGCUCAUCUCAUCUCUCUCUACCACUCCGCUCAUCUCAUCUCUCUCUACCACUCCCUCAUCUCAUCUCUCUCUACUGCUCAUCUCAUCUCUCUCUACCACUCCACUCAUCUCAUCUCUCUCUACCACUCCACUCAUCUCAUCUCUCUCUACCACUCCGCUCAUCUCAUCUCUCUCUACCACUCCACUCAUCUCAUCUCUCUCUACCACUCCGCUCAUCUCAUCUCUCUCUACCACUCCCCUCAUCUCAUCUCUCUCUACUGCUCAUCUCUCUCUACCACUCCCCUCAUCUCAUCUCUCUCUACUGCUCAUCUCAUCUCUCUCUACCACUCCACUCAUCUCAUCUCUCUAUCACUCCGCUCAUUUCAUCUCUCUCUACCACUCCGCUCAUCUCUUUCUCUACCACUCCACUCAUCUCUCUCUACCACUCCACUCAUCUCAUCUCUCUCUACCACUCCACUCAUCUCUCUCUACCACUCCGCUCAUCUCUCUCUCUCUUCCACUCCGCUCAUCUCUCUCUCUACCACUCCACUCAUCUCAUCUCUCUCUCUCUACCACUCCGCUCAUCUCAUCUCUCUCUACCACUCUGCUCAACUCUCUCUCUCUACCACUCCGCUCAUCUCAUCUCUCUACCACUCCGCUCAUCUCAUCUCCCGCUCUUCCAAUCCCUUCUCUCUUUACCUCUCUCUGUUUUCCAUCAGUGUGUAGCUAAAGCUGGUUAGCCAUGGUGUUUAUGAGGAGCCGUCACAUCCCAACACUGCUCUGGCGACGACUGCCACACAAAACAAGGGCAGCUUAAGGAAAAUGUACACGUUACACGUUGAUACCACGCUGGAGAUUCACAGCGGCCAAGAGGAGAGAGUCUUAACACCCCCCCCCC
Molecule: long non-coding RNA, 4740 nt
Filed under: Oncorhynchus kisutch (coho salmon)
Lineage: Eukaryota; Metazoa; Chordata; Actinopteri; Salmoniformes; Salmonidae
Description: lncRNA (ENSOKIG00005014175.1)
Source: RNAcentral